AAAAUUUACAUUAAGGUGGUACCUAACACUACAAGGAGAUAACUCUGUAAAAUCAGCUAAACGUUUUAAUUACGUUGUGUUGAAAAGGGAAUAUUAAGCUUCUCAAUGAUCAAAAUAAGUGUUUGUCAAACUGCUAUAUAACCAGUGUAAUUUCUCUGACAAAAUGGUCGGUUCAAAUUUUUUGAAAUUUUUAUAUUUUUGUCA
RNAcentral lists this long non-coding RNA (204 nucleotides) under Mytilus galloprovincialis (Mediterranean mussel). Lineage: Eukaryota; Metazoa; Mollusca; Bivalvia; Mytilida; Mytilidae. The record is from RNAcentral.